Molecule: ribosomal RNA, 492 nt
Filed under: uncultured bacterium
Lineage: Bacteria
Description: partial 16S ribosomal RNA
Rfam family: Bacterial small subunit ribosomal RNA
Source: RNAcentral
AGUGAACGCUGGCGGUAGGCCUAACACAUGCAAGUCGAACGGCAGCACAGUAAGAGCUUGCUCUUACGGGUGGCGAGUGGCGGACGGGUGAGGAAUACAUCGGAAUCUACUUUUUCGUGGGGGAUAACGUAGGGAAACUUACGCUAAUACCGCAUACGACCUACGGGUUAAAGCAGGGGAUCUUCGCACCUUGCGCGAUUCAAUGAGCCGAUGUCGGAUUAGCUAGUUGGCGGGGUAAAGGCCCACCAAGGCGACGAUCCGUAGCUGGUCUGAGAGGAUGAUCAGCCACACUGGAACUGAGACACGGUCCAGACUCCUACGGGAGGCAGCAGUGGGGAAUAUUGGACAAAGGGCGCAAGCCUGAUCCAGCCAUACCGCGUGGGUGAAGAAGGCCUUCGGGUUGUAAAGCCCUGUUGUUGGGAAAGAAAAGCAGCAGGUUAAUACCCCGCUGUUCUGACGGUACCCAAAGAAUAAGCACCGGCUAACUUCGUG